AGCAAUACCUGAGUAAAGCGGCGCACGGGUGAGUAACACGUGGGUAAUCUGCCCUGGAGUGGGGAAUAACACCGGGAAACCGGUGCUAAUACCGCAUACGAUCACGAUGUCUGCGGAUGUUGUGAUGAAAGGAGCAAUUCGCUCCAGGAGGAGCCCGCGGCUGAUUAGCUAGUUGGUGAGGUAAUGGCUCACCAAGGCAUCGAUCAGUAGCCGGUCUGAGAGGACGGUCGGCCACACUGGAACUGAGACACGGUCCAGACUCCUACGGGAGGCAGCAGUGGGGAAUUUUUGGCAAUGGGCGAAAGCCUGACCAAGCAACGCCGCGUGGGUGAUGAAGUAUCUCGGUACGUAAAACCCUUUCGACGGGGAAGAAACCGCAAGGUUGACGGUACCCGUAGAAGAAGCCCCGGCUAACUCCGUGCCAGCAGCCGCGGUAAUACGGGGGGGGCAAGCGUUGUUCGGAAUUACUGGGCGUAAAGGGUGCGUAGGUGGCUUGCUAAGUUGGAUGUGAAAACUCUGGGCUUAACCCAGAGCCUGCAUUCAAAACUGACAAGCUAGAGUUCUGGAGGGGGUAGCGGAAUUCCUGGUGUAGCGGUGAAAUGCGUAGAUAUCAGGAGGAACACCGGUGGCGAAGGCGGCUACCUGGACAGAAACUGACACUGAGGCACGAAAGCUAGGGGAGCAAACAGGAUUAGAUACCCUGGUAGUCCUAGCCCUAAACGAUGGAUACUUGCUGUG
This 738-nucleotide ribosomal RNA is filed under the name uncultured Acidobacteriota bacterium. Its description in RNAcentral is "bacterial SSU rRNA". It matches the Rfam family "Bacterial small subunit ribosomal RNA", at positions 78 to 824 of the family's 1533-position model. The record is from RNAcentral. Lineage: Bacteria; Pseudomonadati; Acidobacteriota.